RNAcentral lists this long non-coding RNA (1208 nucleotides) under Anser cygnoides (Swan goose). RNAcentral describes it as "lncRNA (ENSACDG00005017818.1)". The record is from RNAcentral. Lineage: Eukaryota; Metazoa; Chordata; Aves; Anseriformes; Anatidae.
UUAUGAAGUUCAAAGGCCUUAUAGAAAAUGGACAGGAAAGUACACAUACAUAUAAAAUGAUACUGACAUUUCUGAAAUAAGAGAUAUGGUGUUUUAUCUAUACCAUACCAAAGCCCUUUAAGAUAAUGUGAUACUGUAUAAUAGUUGCAGCUUUAGACACUACUUCAGUUUUAAACAAUUUUCUAGAGAAAAAGCACAAUUCUUACCCAUAAUAACAGUCUAGUACUUGACAAAUUAUUAGCACACACUUCUUAGCUAUGCCUAAUAUAGGAAAAACUGCAUGCUAGGGGAGGCCUUAUUUCCCUCCUCCACUACACCAGAUUCACCUGCUUUUUAUGCUAAGCAGGGGAGGAGGCAGAGGCUUUUAAAGCAUAGCGUGAGAGGCAAUGAUGAGCCUCAACUGUGCUGAUCAGUGCCAGCUGGGGCCCUCGUGGCUCCAUUUAGGCCCGGGGCCAGGCCCCCAGCUCUUGGUUUGGGCUGUGUUGUGGUAGCUCUUCUGGUGUUCUCACUCUUCUUUCUGAAUGUAGCUAGGACAUGUGCUAAAGGAUGAGCUGCAAAGAUGUAGUGGCAAACAGAUGCAGCAGUCUGCAUGUGGAGCCCAUCUGAUUUUUUGGGGGACUAUUACAUUUAAUCCCAGGACUAAGCUCUCUGAAGGUUGGUGUUACAAUGCCAGGCUCAUGUUGUGCAUUGCUCCUGCAGCAUGGAAGCGGUUGGAGCUGUGCAAGACGCAGAAAAGCCCAGUCCUCCCGAGGGAUGUAUGCAAAGAGGAAUGUAUAUUGUAGUCAGUGUGAGGGGUUCAAGUAAGGGGACAGCAGCUGCCUAGCCUGCUGGGUUUUUCCCUAAAACCUAUUUUCCAAAUUUAGGUCCUUUGUGAGAUCCCAGUGCUUCAGCUCUGAGCUCUGAAAUGUUUGCCUCAGCACAAGUAAGAAGUACCAGGAAUGCUGCCUUUUUUUCAAUUUUCUUCUACUUAGCUUAUUUAUGUUCAAGUAUAUAUGGAAGUCAAAAUGAAAGCCAUUUGAAUUGCUAUAAAACAAAUUAAGAAGUCUCAAAAUUUACCCAUGGUCUAUGUUUAUAGAAAAAUGUUUCUAUGGAUUUAAGUUUUGGGGUGGGGUUGGGAGGUUUGGGUUUUCACUUGUACCCACUCGUAGAGGCUUUUUGUUUAUUCCAUUACUAAAACUACAAAUGCUGUAAAGUUGGCUUUAAUAAAU